Long non-coding RNA from Diceros bicornis minor, 644 nucleotides. RefSeq lists it as uncharacterized. The record is from RefSeq and is a predicted model, not a curated record. NCBI's taxonomy places the organism in Eukaryota, Metazoa, Chordata, Mammalia, Perissodactyla, Rhinocerotidae. The transcript has 2 exons.
UGAGCAGUGCACUUGCUCAGCAGCUAUUUCCUGAGCACUCGCUGGUGCCCUGCAACACAGCAGGAACAAGGAGCCUGCAUUCUAGUGGGCAGAGGCAGACAAUCAACAAGGAAGGAAUCAAGUAAACUGGGUAACUUAAUGUGGUGGGAGAGCUGUGGGUGGGCAGACGGGAACCCCUCUGUACCAUCGUCUUGAUUUUUCUGUAAAUCUAAACUGUUCUAAGAAAUAACGUCUAUUUAAAAAUUAAUGCAAAAAAAUCCAGGAACAUCUGAAAUAAAGGCAAGAUUGGACCCUGCACCUGCACAGCCGUGAGAAUGGCCCCGCCACGAGUCCGGCCCUGUGAGGACGACUUGCUUGUCAUAGAGCAUCUGGGAGGGGCAGCAGGAGUCAAGAAGGAAACAUAAAUCGCUCAGGGCCGCCCCCCAGAACCGACAGCUGCUAGCUUCUCAGGACAGUCUUCCGAGUCUGUUUUCUAGGCACGAAUCCAGCGCAUGAAUGCCAGUUUCCCCUCCGCACAAUCGAUAACUGCUGAUCAUCUGCGUGGAAUUGCCUCUGUGUCUAUAUAUGUUUGCAUUCUGCUUUUUUGUCACUUAACGUAGCAUCGUGAGCAUUUUUAUGUCAUUAAAUACCCUCCCCAAACAGCA